This 464-nucleotide ribosomal RNA is filed under the name uncultured bacterium. RNAcentral's name for it is "partial 16S ribosomal RNA". It matches the Rfam family "Bacterial small subunit ribosomal RNA", at positions 28 to 507 of the family's 1533-position model. The record is from RNAcentral.
GACGAAUGCUGGCGGCGUGCUUAACACAUGCAAGUCGAACGGAAAGGCCCUGCUUGCCGGGUACUCGAGUGGCGAACGGGUGAGUAACACGUGGGUGAUCUGCCCUGCACUUCGGGAUAAGCCUGGGAAACUGGGUCUAAUACCGGAUAGGAGCCAUUUUUAGUGUGAUGGUUGGAAAGUUUUUUCGGUGUAGGAUGAGCUCGCGGCCUAUCAGCUUGUUGGUGGGGUAAUGGCCUACCAAGGCGGCGACGGGUAGCCGGCCUGAGAGGGUGGACGGCCACAUUGGGACUGAGAUACGGCCCAGACUCCUACGGGAGGCAGCAGUGGGGAAUAUUGCACAAUGGGCGCAAGCCUGAUGCAGCAACGCCGCGUGGGGGAUGACGGCCUUCGGGUUGUAAACUCCUUUCGCUAGGGACGAAGCUUUUGUGACGGUACCUAGAUAAGAAGCACCGGCUAACUACGUG